This 492-nucleotide ribosomal RNA is filed under the name uncultured bacterium. RNAcentral describes it as "partial 16S ribosomal RNA". It matches the Rfam family "Bacterial small subunit ribosomal RNA", at positions 28 to 523 of the family's 1533-position model. The record is from RNAcentral.
GACGAACGCUGGCGGCGUGCUUAACACAUGCAAGUCGAACGGUGAAAGCGGAGCUUGCUCCGCUGGAUCAGUGGCGAACGGGUGAGUAACACGUGGGCAACCUGCCCCUGACUUCGGGAUAACUCCUCGAAAGAGGUGCUAAUACCGGAUACGAAUCCUGCAGGCAUCUGCGGGAUUGGAAUGUUUUUCGGUCAGGGAUGGGCCCGCGGCCUAUCAGCUUGUUGGUGAGGUAGUGGCUCACCAAGGCGACGACGGGUAGCCGGCCUGAGAGGGCGACCGGCCACACUGGGACUGAGACACGGCCCAGACUCCUACGGGAGGCAGCAGUGGGGAAUCUUGCGCAAUGGGCGAAAGCCUGACGCAGCGACGCCGCGUGGGGGAUGAAGCCCUUCGGGGUGUAAACCCCUUUCGACCCGGACGAAUCGCCCGCAAGGGAAUUGACGGUACGGGUAGAAGAAGCCCCGGCUAACUACGUGCCAGCCGCCGCAGUAA